GGAAGCAGCUUGCUGCUUUGCUGACGAGUGGCGGACGGGUGAGUAAUGUCUGGGAAACUGCCCGAUGGAGGGGGAUAACUACUGGAAACGGUAGCUAAUACCGCAUAAUGUCGCAAGACCAAAGAGGGGGACCUUCGGGCCUCUUGCCAUCGGAUGUGCCCAGAUGGGAUUAGCUUGUUGGUGAGGUAACGGCUCACCAAGGCGACGAUCCCUAGCUGGUCUGAGAGGAUGACCAGCCACACUGGAACUGAGACACGGUCCAGACUCCUACGGGAGGCAGCAGUGGGGAAUAUUGCACAAUGGGCGCAAGCCUGAUGCAGCCAUGCCGCGUGUAUGAAGAAGGCCUUCGGGUUGUAAAGUACUUUCAGCGGGGAGGAAGGGGUUAAGGUUAAUAACCUU
Molecule: ribosomal RNA, 399 nt
Filed under: Citrobacter amalonaticus
Lineage: Bacteria; Pseudomonadati; Pseudomonadota; Gammaproteobacteria; Enterobacterales; Enterobacteriaceae
Description: bacterial SSU rRNA
Rfam family: Bacterial small subunit ribosomal RNA
Source: RNAcentral